Molecule: transfer RNA, 73 nt
Filed under: Pseudomonas oryzae
Lineage: Bacteria; Pseudomonadati; Pseudomonadota; Gammaproteobacteria; Pseudomonadales; Pseudomonadaceae
Rfam family: tRNA
About the family: Transfer RNA (tRNA) molecules are approximately 80 nucleotides in length. Their secondary structure includes four short double-helical elements and three loops (D, anti-codon, and T loops).
Source: Rfam by way of RNAcentral
GCCGGUGUAGCUCAGUUGGUAGAGCGGCGCAUUCGUAAUGCGAAGGUCGCAGGUUCGACUCCUGUCUCCGGCA